UUGGAGGGCAAGUCUGGUGCCAGCAGCCGCGGUAAUUCCAGCUCCAAUAGCGUAUAUUAAAGUUGUUGCAGUUAAAAAGCUCGUAGUUGAAUUUCGGGAUUAGUACGUUGGUCGUGCCUUAGGUACGUACUGGUGUUACUGGUUUCUACCUUCUGACGAACCAUCAUGUCAUUAAUUUGGUGUGGCGGGGAAUCAGGACUGUUACUUUGAAAAAAUUAGAGUGUUUAAAGCAGGCUCGCGCUUGAAUACAUUAGCAUGGAAUAAUGAAAUAGGACGUUGACCCUAUUUUGUUGGUUUCUAGGAUUGACGUAAUGAUUAAUAGGGAUAGUUGGGGGCAUUAGUAUUCAAUUGUCAGAGGUGAAAUUCUUGGAUUUAUUGAAGACUAACUACUGCGAAAGCAUUUGCCAAGGAUGUUUUCAUUAAUCAAGAACGAAAGUUAGGGGAUCGAAGACGAUCAGAUACCGUCGUAGUCUUAACCAUAAACUAUGCCGACUAGGGAUCGGAUGAUGUUAUUUUUAAUGACUCAUUCGGCGCCUUACGGGAAAC
Molecule: ribosomal RNA, 546 nt
Filed under: uncultured Glomeromycotina
Lineage: Eukaryota; Fungi; Glomeromycota
Description: SSU rRNA
Rfam family: Eukaryotic small subunit ribosomal RNA
Source: RNAcentral